Molecule: transfer RNA, 73 nt
Filed under: Phycisphaerae bacterium
Lineage: Bacteria; Pseudomonadati; Planctomycetota; Phycisphaerae
Description: tRNA-Arg
Rfam family: tRNA
About the family: Transfer RNA (tRNA) molecules are approximately 80 nucleotides in length. Their secondary structure includes four short double-helical elements and three loops (D, anti-codon, and T loops).
Source: RNAcentral
GAUCCUGUAGCUCAAUGGGAAGAGCAUCCGCCUUCUAAGCGGAUGGCUGCAGGUUCGAGUCCUGCCAGGAUCA